Otolemur garnettii (small-eared galago) is the source of this 104-nucleotide small nucleolar RNA. The record is from Ensembl. Lineage: Eukaryota; Metazoa; Chordata; Mammalia; Primates; Galagidae.
AUCCUUUUGUAGUCCACAAGCAUGAUCACUGAGGUUUCAUGCUCAUGAGAGCAAUAUGGCUCCCUCAAACCUUGUUAUGUUGUUGGCACAUUUCCCAUCUGACA